Molecule: long non-coding RNA, 791 nt
Organism: Spinacia oleracea (spinach)
Lineage: Eukaryota; Viridiplantae; Streptophyta; Magnoliopsida; Caryophyllales; Amaranthaceae
Exons: 2
Source: RefSeq, a predicted model, not a curated record
AUAUAUUUAAAACUCAAAUUUUUAUUCAUCGAAGCUCACCGUUCAUUCAUUUUCAAGUUUUAUACGUUUUAAUUUUUAUUCAUUCAGCUCACCGUUUAUUCAUUUUCAAUAUGUGGCAAUGACCAAUGACGAAAAUAUUGAAGAAAGGUGGAAAACCGAGUAGAAAUGGACAUGAAGCAGCCCUGUGCGAUCGCACAGGAUUUGUGUUCGCUCGCACAGGGAAGAAGAGAAGAUAUUGAAAGCAAGCAGAGCUGUGCGAUCGAGCUGCUGCUGAGUGCGUUCGCACAAAAACGCAAAAACGUUCCAGGAACUCCUCCAUUUUGCAUGCGAUCGCACAGGAUUUGUGUGCGUUCGCACCAAAUUCUUGUGCGCACACAGAGGGAAAGCCAUGAGACCACACGAAGAAAAUUUGAAGAAAUUGGCUAACUCGGGUGUGUGCGAUCACGCAGAUUAUUUGUGCGCUCGCACGACACUAAUGAAGUGAUUCGUCACUCUACUCGUUUGCACAAGAUUUAUGUGCGCCCACACCGGUUCAUUCGCACCUGGGUCUGUGCGUUCGAACACCGACGUGGGCUGGGCACUUUUCGAGAUUUAAAAUUCUAUUUCGGGAAACAUAUAAAUACAUUUUCUUAUUUUAUUUUUGAGAGUUAGUUUUUCAUAGUUAGUUUUCAGAUUUUAGAAGUGAGUUCUUAGCUUUUAUGCUUUGAUUUUAGAGAGAGAAAGUCAAGAAUCCUUGGUGUAGAAUUCAAUUUUGAAGAUAAUUGCAAAAAUUUUGAAGCUUCAUUGUAAUA